ACUAAGGUUAGAAAUUUCACUCUCUGUGUGUGUGCUUGUGUGUGUGUGUGAGCUUGUUUCGUCUUAAUUUUUCUUCAUUUUAGUGGGGGGACAUAUCUUACUCAGGUUUUGAGUAGAAGAAGAACAGCACAUUUAAAUCUCAUCCCAACCUCUCUUCCAUUCUCUCCACCAACAGCACAGGUAGAGCAUUUCGGAGACAAAAUGCAUAUCAUUGUUAUUUAUGAUCAUCCAAAAAUAGUGCAAGGUUUCAUGGCCAAAGUACUUCCAACCACAACUUUUCUUGAACUGAAAAAAAAGAUGGAAUCCAAUUUUGGUGCUAAAGUGGAUCGACAAAACCUUUGGCUUAAUGGAUUGGAUUUGAGAGAUGAUUACGAUGUUCAAUUCUAUGAACUAACAGAUGGAUCAGAAAUCGUUCUCACUUAUGAUCGAUUGACUCCAGGAGAGAAAUUUAAAAUUGUUGUUGAAACACAUAACAGAAGGUUCAAGUUCAGAUUGGAGGUGGAAGAGACCAUGACUGUUAGAAAAUUGAAGAAGAAAAUCCAGAAACUUUCAAACAUUUCAGCUAAAUAUAUGAAACUCUUAUACUUUGGCCAUGAAAUGGAAGAUCAGCUUGACAUCUCUGCCUAUUUUGUUUCUGGGGGUUCAGAAAUAAGUGUGAGGAGUUCAUAGUCAAGACCUGAUAAUGUGCUUUCUUGAGAAUAUUUUGGUUUUAUUUUUUUGUUCUUCCAAUUGAUCUUUUUUGCUUCUUGGUAUUAGACUAAUUAAAAAAUGGGGAAAUAGUGAAAAAGCUAUAGAUGGUUUGAUAGUUUUUUUGGAAGUUUGAGAACAUUGUAGUAUUUGUUUCAUGUUUAAUCUUUUUUUUGUCUUUUUAAAGAGUGCUGAGUGAAAUGAGUAUAUCUUACCAUAAUGGAGUACUGGUUUGAGAUAUUCAUGAAGUGGCAUGUUUCAAAAUUUCAGUUAAUAAGAGAUCUAGUGUGUCAACUUGAUAAUUUCAAGUUGGAUUGGAA
Molecule: long non-coding RNA, 1007 nt
Organism: Macadamia integrifolia
Lineage: Eukaryota; Viridiplantae; Streptophyta; Magnoliopsida; Proteales; Proteaceae
Exons: 2
Source: RefSeq, a predicted model, not a curated record